Small nucleolar RNA from Hemibagrus wyckioides, 211 nucleotides. RefSeq annotates it as small nucleolar RNA SNORA53. The record is from RefSeq and is a predicted model, not a curated record. NCBI's taxonomy places the organism in Eukaryota, Metazoa, Chordata, Actinopteri, Siluriformes, Bagridae. The transcript has a single exon.
CACACGCUCCUUAAGUCCACCUCUAGGGAGUCCUCCAGCUCUGAGUGUCAUAGCUCCAGAGUGGAGGCUCCCAGCAGCUUUUCUGGCUGUACAGUUGGAGGUGCUUGAGUCAUUGGUGUGUGAGAGCAGUCUACCUGCUCCUUCAGCCCAGUCUCUACCCUGGCUCCCAUGGUGGACUUCACCAGGGUAGAUGAGCUGGAGGGCGGACAAG